CCUACGGGGGGCAGCAGUGGGGAAUAUUGGACAAUGGGGGGAACCCUGAUCCAGCCAUGCCGCGUGUGUGAAGAAGGCCCUCGGGUUUUAAAGCACUUUCAGUGAGGAAGAACGCCUGGUGGUUAAUACCCAUCAGGAAAGACAUCACUCACAGAAGAAGCACCGGCUAACUCCGUGCCAGCAGCCGCGGUAAUACGGAGGGUGCGAGCGUUAAUCGGAAUUACUGGGCGUAAAGCGCGCGUAGGUGGCUUGAUAAGCCGGUUGUGAAAGCCCCGGGCUCAACCUGGGAACGGCAUCCGGAACUGUCAAGCUAGAGUGCAGGAGAGGAAGGUAGAAUUCCCGGUGUAGCGGUGAAAUGCGUAGAGAUCGGGAGGAAUACCAGUGGCGAAGGCGGCCUUCUGGACUGACACUGACACUGAGGUGCGAAAGCGUGGGUAGAAAACAGGAUUAGAUACCCUGGUAGUC
RNAcentral lists this ribosomal RNA (465 nucleotides) under Vreelandella stevensii. RNAcentral describes it as "partial 16S ribosomal RNA". It matches the Rfam family "Bacterial small subunit ribosomal RNA", at positions 338 to 795 of the family's 1533-position model. Lineage: Bacteria; Pseudomonadati; Pseudomonadota; Gammaproteobacteria; Oceanospirillales; Halomonadaceae. The record is from RNAcentral.